GAAGAUUAUGUGGCCGAAUAUUAGGUGUUAGUCUCUUAAAUUAAUUAAGA
RNAcentral lists this transfer RNA (50 nucleotides) under Pardosa laura. Its description in RNAcentral is "tRNA-Lys". The record is from RNAcentral. Lineage: Eukaryota; Metazoa; Arthropoda; Arachnida; Araneae; Lycosidae.